Molecule: ribosomal RNA, 253 nt
Filed under: uncultured bacterium
Lineage: Bacteria
Description: partial 16S ribosomal RNA
Rfam family: Bacterial small subunit ribosomal RNA
Source: RNAcentral
UACGUAGGUGGCAAGCGUUAUCCGGAAUUACUGGGCGUAAAGGGUGUGCAGGCGGGGUUGCAAGUGGUGUAUGAAAUAUCCCAGCUUAACUGGGAGGGGUUAUGCCAGACUGCAACUCUAGAGGACGAGAGAGGGGGGUGGAAUUCCGGGUGUAGUGGUGAAAUGCGUAGAGAUCCGGAGGAACCCCAGAGGCGAAGGCGGCCCCCUGGCUCGUACCUGACGCUCAGCCACGAAAGCAUGGGGAGCGAACGGG